GACGAACGCUGGCGGCGUGCUUAACACAUGCAAGUCGAACGGAAAGGCCCUGCUUUUGUGGGGUGCUCGAGUGGCGAACGGGUGAGUAACACGUGAGUAACCUGCCCUUGACUUUGGGAUAACUUCAGGAAACUGGGGCUAAUACCGGAUAGGAGCUCCUGCUGCAUGGUGGGGGUUGGAAAGUUUCGGCGGUUGGGGAUGGACUCGCGGCUUAUCAGCUUGUUGGUGGGGUAGUGGCUUACCAAGGCUUUGACGGGUAGCCGGCCUGAGAGGGUGACCGGCCACAUUGGGACUGAGAUACGGCCCAGACUCCUACGGGAGGCAGCAGUGGGGAAUAUUGCACAAUGGGCGGAAGCCUGAUGCAGCAACGCCGCGUGCGGGAUGACGGCCUUCGGGUUGUAAACCGCUUUCGCCUGUGACGAAGCGUGAGUGACGGUAAUGGGUAAAGAAGCACCGGCUAACUACGUGCCAGCAGCCGCGGUGAUACGUAGGGUGCGAGCGUUGUCCGGAUUUAUUGGGCGUAAAGGGCUCGUAGGUGGUUGAUCGCGUCGGAAGUGUAAUCUUGGGGCUUAACCCUGAGCGUGCUUUCGAUACGGGUUGACUUGAGGAAGGUAGGGGAGAAUGAAAUUCCUGGUGGAGCGGUGGAAUGCGCAGAUAUCAGGAGGAACACCAGUGGCGAAGGCGGUUCUCUGGGCCUUUCCUGACGCUGAGGAGCGAAAGCGUGGGGAGCGAACAGGCUUAGAUACCCUGGUAGUCCACGCUGUAAACGGUGGGUACUAGGUGUGGGGUCCAUUCCACGGGUUCCGUGCCGUAGCUAACGCUUUAAGUACCCCGCCUGGGGAGUACGGCCGCAAGGCUAAAACUCAAAGGAAUUGACGGGGCCCCGCACAAGCGGCGGAGCAUGCGGAUUAAUUCGAUGCAACGCGUAGAACCUUACCUGGGUUUGACAUGGAUCGGGAGUGCUCAGAGAUGGGUGUGCCUCUUUUGGGGUCGGUUCACAGGUGGUGCAUGCCUGUCGUCAGCUCGUGUCGUGAGAUGUUGGGUUAAGUCCCGCAACGAGCGCAACCCUUGUUCACUGUUGCCAGCACGUUAUGGUGGGGACUCAGUGGAGACCGCCGGGGUCAACUCGGAGGAAGGUGGGGAUGACGUCAAGUCAUCAUGCCCCUUAUGUCCAGGGCUUCACGCAUGCUACAAUGGCUGGUACAGAGAGUGGCGAGCCUGUGAGGGUGAGCGAAUCUCGGAAAGCCGGUCUCAGUUCGGAUUGGGGUCUGCAACUCGACCUCAUGAAGUCGGAGUCGCUAGUAAUCGCAGAUCAGCAACGCUGCGGUGAAUACGUUCCCGGG
RNAcentral lists this ribosomal RNA (1343 nucleotides) under uncultured bacterium. RNAcentral describes it as "16S ribosomal RNA". It matches the Rfam family "Bacterial small subunit ribosomal RNA", at positions 28 to 1378 of the family's 1533-position model. The record is from RNAcentral.